CUCAGAGAGCCCAUUUGCUUCCCACGCCUCCCCUCUCACUCGCUCUCUCACUGUAGAUUGUGUAUUCGGAUAUGUUUGUUGGAAGCAGGUGAAAGAAACCCUACAAAAACCCCUCCCAGAGCAGAGGGAGGAACCGACGUGGCUGUUUUCUUUGGGGGCAUAUAAGGUUAAGGCUGUGUUUGGCAUUUGAGGAGUGAAAGGCAAACAAAGGUCAAAGCCCAUUAUGUAUGGGAAGAAAGAAACUGAAUUCAAGUGGGCCGAGAGCCUGCUCAAUUGGGCCUGAUGGAGAUGUUAAACCGGUUUGCCUAUCUCAAUGAAAUGAAUAAAGUGAUGGGUUAGCACUUAGCAAAAAAAAACUGAUGGGCCGGUGACCCACUACAGUAGGAUCAUCUUAAGCCGAGGAAUCAUGUUCAUGUUUGAAUUUUAGUUUAUUCACGUAAAAUAGUUACCCACUGUAUAGAUUAUCUGUAAUCAUGAAUGUUAAUAUUGAAGUUGAAUCAUGUUAUUUUAUUUUACCUUAAUUUUCAUUAUUUCAUGAUCUAAUCCUCGGGUUCUUCUCCCUAUGUUCUU
Long non-coding RNA from Diospyros lotus (date-plum), 570 nucleotides. RefSeq lists it as uncharacterized. The transcript has 3 exons. NCBI's taxonomy places the organism in Eukaryota, Viridiplantae, Streptophyta, Magnoliopsida, Ericales, Ebenaceae. The record is from RefSeq and is a predicted model, not a curated record.